Molecule: long non-coding RNA, 829 nt
Organism: Sander lucioperca (pikeperch)
Lineage: Eukaryota; Metazoa; Chordata; Actinopteri; Perciformes; Percidae
Exons: 5
Source: RefSeq, a predicted model, not a curated record
ACGAUGACCAGGUCUUUAGGAAAACCUUUAUACAGUGAUGAAUUUCAAAAUGGAAGAUUCAACAUGAGUACCAACAUCUCCACUCUCUUUCUCCAAAUCAAACAUGUGGAUGUAUCUGACUCUGGACUGUAUUUAUGUGGAUUUUACACCGAAGGACAUUAUUAUUUCAACGCAAUACACUUAAAUGUUAAAGGUAAGAUUAUAAAAAUCCUGUGUUCUGUAUUCUUCUUUUUAUAUACGCCAAUAUCAUAAUUGGCAAAAAAAGAGCACAUUUCAUCAUUUUAAAACAAGAGAGUGAUACUAUUUUUCAAAGUAAAAUCAGACAUGAACUUAUCUUGAUUUUGUUAAAAGGCAGUGAUGAUUCUCAUGAUGACGCUGACAGGAAGUCUGAAAGCAGCGAUGAAUCUCAUGAUGACGACAGGAAGUCUGAAACAGAGUCUGAUGGAACAGCAAAGCUGAUGAUUUUGAUCCUGGGAGCUCUGACUGUUCUCCUCUUAAUGAUCAUCAUUGGUCUGGUUGUUAAAAACAGGAAACUUCAGAAAGCUGCCAAUGAAGAACAGAAUCCACAACAGCCUGAGAAUCUGGACUCUGACCUGAAAGAUGCAGCUCUGAGUUUGUAUGCAGCAACAAUAAGGAACAGGAGGCCUGCAUCAGAGAGAGAAGUGGAGACUCAUGCUGUUUAUGCUGUCUGCAGAUAGACUCAGAGUGGAACUGAUGCUUUAUCAUAUUCAUCUCCUGCUGUGUUCUUUUGUGGAUGAAUGGGGAGGAGUUAUCCUUUUCUUUAAAAAAAUAGUCAAAUAAAACCACUAAGAUUUUAAUCUCAUCUCUC